Molecule: ribosomal RNA, 585 nt
Filed under: uncultured bacterium
Lineage: Bacteria
Description: partial 16S ribosomal RNA
Rfam family: Bacterial small subunit ribosomal RNA
Source: RNAcentral
UGGGGAAUUUUGGACAAUGGGCGAAAGCCUGAUCCAGCAAUGCCGCGUGUGUGAAGAAGGCCUUCGGGUUGUAAAGCACUUUUGUCCGGAAAGAAAUCCUUGGCUCUAAUACAGUCGGGGGAUGACGGUACCGGAAGAAUAAGCACCGGCUAACUACGUGCCAGCAGCCGCGGUAAUACGUAGGGUGCAAGCGUUAAUCGGAAUUACUGGGCGUAAAGCGUGCGCAGGCGGUUUGCUAAGACCGAUGUGAAAUCCCCGGGCUCAACCUAGGAACUGCAUUGGUGACUGGCAGGCUAGAGUAUGGCAGAGGGGGGUAGAAUUCCACGUGUAGCAGUGAAAUGCGUAGAGAUGUGGAGGAAUACCGAUGGCGAAGGCAGCCCCCUGGGCCAAUACUGACGCUCAUGCACGAAAGCGUGGGGAGCAAACAGGAUUAGAUACCCUGGUAGUCCACGCCCUAAACGAUGUCAACUAGUUGUUGGGGAUUCAUUUCCUUAGUAACGUAGCUAACGCGUGAAGUUGACCGCCUGGGGAGUACGGUCGCAAGAUUAAAACUUAAAUGAAUUGACGGGGUCAUAGCUGUUUCCU